Molecule: long non-coding RNA, 978 nt
Organism: Ostrea edulis (European flat oyster)
Lineage: Eukaryota; Metazoa; Mollusca; Bivalvia; Ostreida; Ostreidae
Exons: 3
Source: RefSeq, a predicted model, not a curated record
UCGGCCUUGUCGUCUGCGGCAUGUUACAGACGAUCUAUCAAUACUAUCGGGAAGUCAUUGUCCGAUGGCUUGGUUGAGUUCAAGUUAAGGUCGAUUGUUACACGAAAUAAUCACAACCUUGGCAGUAAGCUGUGGAUCAACUGGGGUUUUAAAAAUAAGAGUGCUUUGAUUUCAAGGUUGCUUUAUUUUGACAGUCGUGGCUGGCCUUCAACUUGACAAAGACUUGUUAAAAACAUACAAUAUCAAUCGAAUUUGCAAACAUUUAAAGGGAACGUAGGGUCAAAAAUCAAAUUUUGAUAUGUGAAAACUGGUACCAUGCAGACAACAAAAUCAAGCAUAGAAAAAAUAAUUGCUGUUGAUAACAAGAUUUAAUCUGUCAUUUACACUGAAAACUGAGCUGAAUGGGAGAAUCUCUUAUCAUGGCGGCUGAUGACGUGUAUGCGGCAAUUCAUUACAACUGCUGUGCCUAUAGCACUAAAUGGGUUACAGAGUAUCUAUAAUUUAAAUGUCAGAAGUUCAAUCGAAAUUUUGCACUUUGGUCAAAGGAAAAGGAAUACAUGUAUCUACCUUUUAGCAUCCCUGAUCUCCCCAAAAACUAUUAACAUUGUGGAAGAAUUCUGAUACAUAACCUUGGGAAUGAAUAUUUUGUUUUGAACGGCAUUUUGAGAAAGAUUCUUUGAAAGAGGAUAUCAGGCUAAUCCAUUUUCUUUUGGAAACCAAUGAAAAACUCAUAUGCAGAACCUAUUGACCAACCUGGACUAUCAGCAUCUAAGAAAACAGCUCAAUGAAGACAUGAAUAGUGACAAAAAUAUCCCACUCUCAAUCCAUAUUGAAGAAUAAAUCAACUUUGUGCAACAUAUACAGAUAGAAUUGCCCAGUCAUUGUCCAUCAUAUGUGCUAAGGAAUGUUCAAGUGAAGAAUGAAGAAGUGAUUAGAUAAUGAACUGUAUAAAGAAUACAAAAUUAAAAGUUUAAGAAU